GGUGGGAGCCUUGUGCUUCGUUACCCACCGCCGGGACGCCAACCCAGGGUGCCCACCUGUGCGCCAUCCCGCCGUGGAGCAGCCCUUUGGUGGCCCCUGCUCCACAGAAUGCAAGGUCACACGGGAUGUCUACAAGCAGAGCUAUUCAAGCAAGACUGCCCUCACCUGGGUGUUGCUGUUGAGCUUUUGGAAGAUGUCAUAGAUCUGGUCCUUGAAUCCACGGCUUAACAUUUCAUCAGCUUCGUCCAGUACAAACAUUUUGAUGUAUUUGGGAGCUAGAGAAUAAAAAAAGCCAAUAUACAGCAUAUAAUUAGGUAAAUGUGUGAUAUAUGUACCCAACUUUCCUGAUAACAGAGGGACCAAGUAGUCUGCUCUCAGAAUACAAAGACUGAUCCUUUGCCGAGGACUUUCCUGCCUGGCCAGACAUCAGCCCUGGCAAGUAGAACACUGCCUGGGCUGCACUGCCAGGAAAGCCAGACUCAGAUGACACGCAUGGGCCUCAUCACAGAGCAACUCUUCCCAUAAGGGAAAUGAGCAUCCUCAGGAAUGACUUUGGCUUAAGCUGAAAGACGCGGAAAGCAUGCAUGAGAGGAAGUGACCUAGGGGACUGUUGAACUCAAUUACUUACACAGGUACCUCCGGUUAAGCAUAUCGAACACACGGCCAGGGGUUCCCACGAUGAUAUGGGGAGCUUCCAUCUGCAGUUUCUGCACCUCAGCACGAACAUUGGUGCCCCCAAUACAGGCGUGACAGGAGGCACCCAUGUAGUCUCCUAGUGCCAUAACCACCUUCUGUAUCUGAGCCCGGAGAAAAACAGGUGCUCAUAUAUUAGCUCCAACUGUGCCAGGCACCACCAUUCAAUGUUUUUCACAUACUUAUUCCUAACCAACCACCCUGGGGGGUGUGCACUAUUAGUAAACUCACAUUCAGCUGAGAAACUGGCAGAGGUUAAAAUCCUUAAGAUCGUGCUGUCAAUAGGUGGCAAGACAGGAUUUCAACUCAGUCUGGUUCCUGAGUAUACAGUGAGUCACAAUAAAGCCGCUCAGAUAAUUCAGUGUCUUAUUCUAGACAUUCAGAACCCUUAACUUUCUGAAAGCUAAUUUGACUAACAGUUUUGCUCGUCAUCCAGGUUGGUGUGCAAUUUGGAGUGCAACGGCACACAACCUUGGCUCACUGCAAUCUCUGCCUCCCAGCUUCAAGUGAUUCUCCUGCUUCAGCCUCCCAAGUAGCUGGGAUAACCACUGCCUGCCAACAUCACCAUGCCUGGCCAAUUUUUAUAUUUUUUUAGUAGAGAUGGUGUUUCACUAUGUUGGCCAGGCUGGUCUAACUCCUGACCUCAAGUGAUCUGCCUGCCUCAGCCUCCCAAAGUGUUUGGAUUAUAGGAGUGAGACACCGUGCCCAGCCAGCAACCGGUUUUAUAAAACAGUUGAGCACAUCCAUGUUCUAUUGCACUCCUGCCAUAGGACGCAAGCUACAAGGCAUAUUCACUCAGAAAAACUGAGUCCCAAAUGCCUUAGAACAAGAGCUCUGCUGUAACUUUACAUUAUUCACACCCAGAAUAGUCACUGCAUCUGCCACAGAACGUUUAAUGCCCUGAGCCUCAAUAAGUGCUCUAUUUGAGACUACUGUCUCGGCAUGACCCAGGAAGAAGAGUCCAGCGUUAGAAUUGUAUGUGCCCCAGAGACAAAACAGCUCUGCCCAUUAAAGCCAGGGUGAAAAAAGACUGUCCAUCUGCUCUGCGUAAGAGCACCACCACCAAUGAGGUGUGUCUCAGCCCACUGUGUAGGUGCUUAUUCAGAAAACAGCCACCAAACUUGCCCAGCCAGCAAGGCUCCACCCAAGAACCUUUCCAUUUGACUCAGAAAAUAGGUGGAGGAAGUGACGGUUUUGUUUGGGCAGGAAACAGCUUCUAAUUAAGCCAGCAGAUCAAGAGCAUUAGGGCGCCCAUCUCUUCCUCCCAAACUAGUGAUCAGAACUAAACUCUCUGGUCCUUGGAUUAUGCCCAUCAUCCCUAAAUCAGCCCUUUCGGAGGGAAAAACCACUCUUACCUGCUGAGCCAAUUCUCGAGUGGGCGCUAGGACCAAGGCCUGGGUGGCCUUUAGAUCUAACUCAAUCUGCUGCAGAAUCGAUAUGGCAAAUGUGGCCGUUUUCCCAGUCCCAGAUUGGGCUUGAGCAAUCACGUCAUAACCUAAACAAAUAAAUUAGGAGUUAAACGUGGUGAAAAGGAUAUACUUUGGAAUAUUCAAACCAUAGGUUAACGAGUGAACCAAUGAUUUUGUGCUUCACAAGCUACCUUACCCCAAUCAAUAGUUACACAACGGGAACCAGAUCAGAAACAAGGAUGGGUUGUUAACUCAUCUAGUAUUGCACACCAACCUGGACUAGAAGUACGACUAUACAAGCAAGUACAAGGUGGCUACAAUACCAUCUCUUUUAAGGAAACCUAUGUGUCCAAGGCAUGAACCAGGCAUAGGCACAGAUCAAAAGCCAAGCUGGGAUGAACAAGGGGUUGCUUUGUCCCUGGCUGAUAUGAGAUGCGCAUCACCAACCAGAUGCCACUCUACCCAGGUCAGGGACAGUCCAAAAUGUCUUCAGGGACUGAGAGAUCUCACCCUUGAUACAAGGUAGAAUGGCUCGCUGCUGGAUGGCAGAAGGCUUCUCAAAACCAUAGGCGUAGAUGCCACGGAGAAGGGACUCCGAGAGGUUCAUGUCAUCAAAGCUGUCAACAAUCUCAUUCCAGUUACUCUAUGGGAUGCAAAAAAAAAAAUUAAAGCUUGAGUGGUCGAAAAGGUGGGGCUGUGCUAUAGUCUCGGAGCAAACAGGAUCGGGUAUCUACUAACCAAGGCCUCAGAGCUUACAACCCCUUUUCCCUUGAAGGAAACCAGCUGUUUCUAGAUGGUCUGGGUAUCAAUCUAAAGGGCCACUGGAAGUCUAUACAGCUGUUAAGUCUGAGAACUGUAAUGGGGGAGGACAGAACUCCAUUUGUCCAUUCUCACCUCGAUGACGCCUUCGGGCUCCAUCCCAUCAGGGCCAUUGUCUCUGGAUCUGUUGGUUUAAAGCAGAAGUUUUGUUCCCUGCCCCACUGAAGCACUCAAAUCCUGAUAGCUGGGCUCCUUCUGUCAGCAGUGGCCAGCAUGCUGUCAACGUGCUCUCCCAGAUCCAACUCCCACCAGUUCCCAAAAGGUACCCAGAGGAAAGGUUUCUACAAAACUUAAUAAGGUCUUUGCCCCAUGCAGGCAGCAGCUCAGGCUAGGCCACCCCGACAUGAUGGGGUAACCCCCUUCUGUACAGUCAGACUGGCAGGGGUGCCGCCGUGCUCACGGUGCCCAGAGGUGGUGCUUGCCGCCAGGUCCACGUGGGCCCGACCCAGCCGCUUAAAGCCCAAGCGCGUGCACCUCCCACCACAGCAGCAGCGCGCCGGAAGUCCCGCCCUUCACCUCCCAGAUCGAAGGGUAGGACAUCCCCUUCCCCCCACGUCAUCCCGCCCGCGCCCUCCCCCACUCCCUCCAGCCGAACCCCUCCUCACGUUGCCCGGAUGUGGGAGGCCGCGGGCGGUGGCGGCCUCGCGCACAAUGAGCCCAAGCCGAGCUAGCAAGAGGGGAGAUUGCACAACACUUAGAAGCGAAGCAGACUGGGGGAGGGGAACGCCUCAGGCCACCAUGUGCUCGCUCCCUCGACCACCCGGCGGCGUCUCCCACCCCUCCAUGGUACAAUCCACAUCCCGUCCGCCCCCGUCGCGAAGUCGCAUCGCCCUCCCAUACCUCAGGCCGCUCACCCCCGAAGGAAAGUGGACCUGCCCAUCCGCAGUUUGCCAAUAGCCCGGCUUGUGCGGCAAAAUGGACCCGCCCGCCCGGCGCCGGGUGGGCUCCUGGUGCCUCACGCGGCCGCUCCUCGGGGUUAGGGUCAGUCCUGGCCGUCAAGAAAACCAGCACACUGAACGGCCGGUUUCUUCUCCCCGGCCCUUAUUUUAGCCGCGACGAAGCGACUAGAUUUGAGGACUCAGGCACCCCCGCCUCCGGCGAGUGGUACCGUCAGAAUCCUCCGGAACCCUGAGAACCGUCCCUCCCCCGGCACAGUGAGGUAACCGGACCUGCGGGCUCUGGGCCACACACAGUGGGGGCCGCCCCCACCUUCCUUUCCCACGCCAAGUCGCGACCCCGUCUCGCCACUCAACGCCGGGACUUCGCGUACGGCACCGCCUCCAGCCGAGACCUCGUAACAAACCUCGCACGCCUGACACUAGCCGGGCUGUCCCUACCCUCCGCCUCGACUGUAGUGGCCGCGUCGGCCGUGGGAUCGUCCCCCUCGCUUCCCUAGGACGGAUUUCCCCCCCAGCUCGGUUUCCCUGCAACCCUGGUGUGCCUUUCAGCUCCCCCCGGCAGACCCGUUGGAAGGGGUCGGUAAGCAACGAUGGGAUUCUACACCGCCUGGACGUGUACGUGUACCAGGGAUGAAGGAAUCAAGAGUGAUAUCCUAGAGAUGGGAGGAUUCCCCUGGCUGGAGGGUGGAGGAGGGAUGGAAGAAAACUGUAAAGAGCUUUGGGUUACUGUCAUGAAUCCUGGCUGGCUCCCCCUCCCCUGUGCCUUGUGUCCAGUUCCCCAGCUUCCCUCUAGGGCACCCUUAUUUUUGAGGCUUACCUACUUUCCCUUCUUUCUGCCCUCUGCUUCCAUCGGGGGAUUUGUUUGAGUGAUAAAGACAUGAUGUUGGCACUGCCCAA
Molecule: non-coding RNA, 4717 nt
Organism: Callithrix jacchus (white-tufted-ear marmoset)
Lineage: Eukaryota; Metazoa; Chordata; Mammalia; Primates; Cebidae
Source: RefSeq, a predicted model, not a curated record